UGGAGUUGCAUAAAUACUUUACAUCUCUCUUCACGAUCGCUCCUGCUGAGGAUGAUGGGAGAGUGGACAGCCCUGCAGAAUCAGAUGAGAUGGUUGAAGACUACAAUGUACAGAUCCUUUGGAGUCGAGCAGGGAAAUGAGAGCAAAAUGUUUGCAGCUGUUGGCAAUGCAGGAGAUUUUGGAGAUUCAGUUUUGCCUUUCACAUCGUGCUUCUCUGAGAUGACCGAAGGAUGACCGAAGGAUCCGAGAAUGUAAUUCUGACAUAAAGAUCAACUCUUCUCCUGAGAUGUGGCCGCUGUCUCAAGAGGCUGAACAAUCUUCGUCAUCAUUGCCAAGAUCGGAAAGCUUUUCUCCACUUCAGACGAGGCUUCAGAGACCACAGCACCUGUCCACUGCCUCCGAAUCCUUUCUGUCAACUUCACGAACAGGAGGCCAGAAAGUGGAACUCAGUGACUCUCCAAAACCAAGAUCUUCUAAAGCACAACAGGACAAAUCCUCAGAGCUUCUGCCAACAUCAUCUCCUUCACUCCCAAAAUCCAAAUUAAAUCAAACUCUCCCAGGCUUUAAGGAGCAUAUUUCCACUCUCCUGGUGGAAUACCAUCUGUUAGGCCUUCUCAAUGGCAUUCUGCUGCUUUUCUCAUCUCCAAACAAAGUCCAAAACCUCCAGAUUCUCCGUCCCCAAGGUUUAGAUCAGUUUCUUCUCCAGUAAACCCAGUCCAAUCCAGACCUGCUCAUUCAAUACCUGUUUCUGAACCGAAAUUAGCUCAGCUGUCUCCAGAACAUGCCAUCACUACCCUAAGCACUGCAGUUCUGUCAUUAAAGCUGUCACUUAGCGAAUCAUCACAGUCUGGACUAGUCUCAGAUAGGAGUAUAUCUACUUUGCCUAUCUAUGACUCC
Carassius auratus (goldfish) is the source of this 897-nucleotide long non-coding RNA. RefSeq lists it as uncharacterized. The transcript has 3 exons. The record is from RefSeq and is a predicted model, not a curated record. Lineage: Eukaryota; Metazoa; Chordata; Actinopteri; Cypriniformes; Cyprinidae.